ACCAUCCUCCUGGAUCUCACCGGCAACCCCCUGGCCUGGAGGCCGCCCGCCUGCCCGCCGUCAGUGCGGGGCCUGCGGCACCACUUCCUCGUGCUCCUCCUUAACAUCCAGGACCAGGACGACCACCGGGACCUCCAUGACGAUGACGAAGCCCCGCACAUGGUCGAGCUCGAUGGAACAACAGUGCCUCGGUGUGGUGCAGCCGAGUUGGGCCAACGACUACGUUAUGGUCCUCGUUAUGGUCGAGUUUUUGUUUUGACCUUGUGAAACUUGCUACCUAUGGAUGAAACUGUGUAAUAUUGAUGAAACUAUGUAUAUGUACGGAUGAAACUUGCUACUA
Molecule: long non-coding RNA, 340 nt
Organism: Triticum dicoccoides
Lineage: Eukaryota; Viridiplantae; Streptophyta; Magnoliopsida; Poales; Poaceae
Exons: 2
Source: RefSeq, a predicted model, not a curated record